This is a long non-coding RNA of Corvus hawaiiensis (hawaiian crow), 90 nucleotides long. RefSeq lists it as uncharacterized. The record is from RefSeq and is a predicted model, not a curated record. Lineage: Eukaryota; Metazoa; Chordata; Aves; Passeriformes; Corvidae. The transcript has 3 exons.
AACAGCCUGGUUGAGUUGAAGGUGCCCCUGCUCAUGGCAGGGGGUUAGAUCUAGACGAUCUUUGAGGUCCGUUCCAACCCAAACCAUUCU